This 19-nucleotide non-coding RNA is filed under the name Arabidopsis thaliana (thale cress). The record is from RNAcentral. Lineage: Eukaryota; Viridiplantae; Streptophyta; Magnoliopsida; Brassicales; Brassicaceae.
GGGGAUGUAGCUCAUAUGG